Molecule: ribosomal RNA, 444 nt
Filed under: uncultured bacterium
Lineage: Bacteria
Description: bacterial SSU rRNA
Rfam family: Bacterial small subunit ribosomal RNA
Source: RNAcentral
UGAGGAAUAUUGGUCAAUGGACGCAAGUCUGAACCAGCCAUGCCGCGUGAAGGAUGAAGGCCUUCUGGGUUGUAAACUUCUUUUAUGAGGGAAGAAAACUGGGGUUUCUACUCCAGCCGACGGUACCUUAGGAAUAAGCACCGGCUAACUCCGUGCCAGCAGCCGCGGUAAUACGGAGGGUGCAAGCGUUAUCCGGAUUUACUGGGUUUAAAGGGUGUGUAGGCGGGCUUUUAAGUCAGUGGUGAAAUCUCCGGGCUCAACCUGGAAACUGCCAUUGAUACUAUUAGUCUUGAAUUUUGUUGAGGUAGGCGGAAUAAGUCAUGUAGCGGUGAAAUGCAUAGAUAUGACUUAGAACACCAAUUGCGAAGGCAGCUUGCUAAACAAACAUUGACGCUGAGGCACGAAAGCGUGGGGAUCAAACAGGAUUAGAUACCCCGGUAGUCC